GUAGCAUCCCACUCUAUUAAAAACACAAUUAUAUGACUUCAUUUGUAUUUUCUUAUUUUUCUCUCCCAUUCUCAGGACCCGACUUUGCCCAGUCCCAAGCCAGCCAAAAUUCAGACCAAAAAACUCAAGGCAAGAGGUCUAACAGAUGGACAAGAUGUGACCCUGCAAAAGAAGACAAUGAAGAGAGCUCUGGGAAAUGAAUCUGCAGCCCCUCCUGUACCCACAAUAGGAAGGAAAGAAGGGCAUGGGAAAUCGGAACCUGACCAGCCAAGGUCAGGCCCUAAGAAAAAAUUUAAAGCUCCUCAAAGCAAAGCCUCAGGAACCAGCUUGUCUGAGGACAAGGAAGCUAGUAUGGUGCCCAAGGGCCUGACCCCACCAGCUCAUCGCGGGGUCUGUCCCAUGGGAGGGAAAGAAGGCUGGAAGUGUCCUCCAGAGGCUGGAAGUGUCCCCCCUGACGAUGACGCCUCCAGUGACCUGGACCUGGAGCAACUCCUAGAAGAUGUUGGAAGAGAGCCGGAGCAGCUGGAGGGGCCGCGGUGUGGAGAUGACCCUGGGGAGUUCACCUUGGCCUUCUUCGAGGAAUAGCUGUGUGCACCUGCCUCCCUGCUGCUCUCUCACCCCCUUCCCUGCCAGCAGCAGGGAGAGCCCCUCAGAGGGUCCCUGAGAGGCUGCUAAGGGUGGGGCUUGUUCAUCGGCUACAGGUCACCUGGCUGAAGUCCCAGCUGUGCAGUUUCUGUGUUAAUAAAACAGGUUACGGCUUU
Molecule: non-coding RNA, 761 nt
Organism: Leptonychotes weddellii (Weddell seal)
Lineage: Eukaryota; Metazoa; Chordata; Mammalia; Carnivora; Phocidae
Source: RefSeq, a predicted model, not a curated record